GACGAACGCUGGCGGCGUGCCUAAUACAUGCAAGUCGAACGCUUUUUCUUUCACCGGAGCUUGCUCCAUCGAAAGAAAAAGAGUGGCGAACGGGUGAGUAACACGUGGGUAACCUGCCCAUCAGAAGGGGAUAACACUUGGAGACAGGUGCUAAUACCGUAUAACACUAUUUUCCGCAUGGAAGAAAGUUGAAAGGCGCUUUUGCGUCACUGAUGGAUGGACCCGCGGUGCAUUAGCUAGUUGGUGAGGUAACGGCUCACCAAGGCAACGAUGCAUAGCCGACCUGAGAGGGUGAUCGGCCACACUGGGACUGAGACACGGCCCAGACUCCUACGGGAGGCAGCAGUAGGGAAUCUUCGGCAAUGGACGAAAGUCUGACCGAGCAACGCCGCGUGAGUGAAGAAGGUUUUCGGAUCGUAAAACUCUGUUGUUAGAGAAGAACAAGGAUGAGAGUAAAAUGUUCAUCCCUUGACGGUAUCUAACCAGAAAGCCACGGCUAACUACGUGCCAGCCGCCGCGGUAA
Molecule: ribosomal RNA, 523 nt
Filed under: uncultured bacterium
Lineage: Bacteria
Description: partial 16S ribosomal RNA
Rfam family: Bacterial small subunit ribosomal RNA
Source: RNAcentral